This 240-nucleotide unclassified non-coding RNA is filed under the name soil metagenome. RNAcentral describes it as "partial contains 5.8S ribosomal RNA, internal transcribed spacer 2, and large subunit ribosomal RNA". The record is from RNAcentral.
AACCUUAUGGACCUGCGGGCGUAUACCUGCGGAAGGAUCAUCAUCGAAUUCAUAUCCCCCUCCUCAACCGGAGGGGAACCCAUGAUAAACCCUUCUGUGCACCGUAAACCGUUUACUUUGGCAGGCUUUGGUGGUGAGCGUGAGCUUGCCUCCAACUUCGCGUUCCCUCCCUAGGGGCAUUACGCGUGGCGGCCUGCCGGAGUCUCAUUAAAAAACUCGUUUUCGAACACGUCUGAAAAU